UGGGGAAUUUUGGACAAUGGGGGAAACCCUGAUCCAGCCAUCCCGCGUGUGCGAUGAAGGCCUUCGGGUUGUAAAGCACUUUUGGCAGGAAAGAAACGUCGCGGGUUAAUACCCCGCGAAACUGACGGUACCUGCAGAAUAAGCACCGGCUAACUACGUGCCAGCAGCCGCGGUAAUACGUAGGGUGCAAGCGUUAAUCGGAAUUACUGGGCGUAAAGCGUGCGCAGGCGGUUCGGAAAGAAAGAUGUGAAAUCCCAGAGCUUAACUUUGGAACUGCAUUUUUAACUACCGGGCUAGAGUGUGUCAGAGGGAGGUGGAAUUCCGCGUGUAGCAGUGAAAUGCGUAGAUAUGCGGAGGAACACCGAUGGCGAAGGCAGCCUCCUGGGAUAACACUGACGCUCAUGCACGAAAGCGUGGGGAGCAAACAGGGUUAGAUACCCUGGUAGUCCACGCCCUAAACGAUGUCAACUAGCUGUUGGGGCCUUCGGGCCUUGGUAGCGCAGCUAACGCGUGAAGUUGACCGCCUGGGGAGUACGGUCGCAAGAUUAAAACUCAAAGGAA
RNAcentral lists this ribosomal RNA (561 nucleotides) under uncultured bacterium. Its description in RNAcentral is "partial 16S ribosomal RNA". It matches the Rfam family "Bacterial small subunit ribosomal RNA", at positions 355 to 909 of the family's 1533-position model. The record is from RNAcentral.